Oryza sativa Indica Group (long-grained rice) is the source of this 197-nucleotide microRNA precursor. It matches the Rfam family "MIR812 microRNA precursor family". The record is from Rfam. NCBI's taxonomy places the organism in Eukaryota, Viridiplantae, Streptophyta, Magnoliopsida, Poales, Poaceae.
AAUAAGUGAAGUUUUACACUGUCAUGUCCAACAUUUAAGCGUUCGUCUUAUUUGAAAUUUUUUUAUUAUUAGUAUUUUUAUUGUUAUUAGACGAUAAAACAUGAAUAGGACUUUAUGUGCGACUAUUUUUUUCAUAAAUUUUUCAAAUAAGAUUGACGGUCAAACAUUGGGUACGGAUAUCCAUGGCUGAACUUAUU